RNAcentral lists this ribosomal RNA (332 nucleotides) under uncultured bacterium. RNAcentral describes it as "bacterial SSU rRNA". It matches the Rfam family "Bacterial small subunit ribosomal RNA", at positions 568 to 898 of the family's 1533-position model. The record is from RNAcentral.
CACGCAGGCGGUCUGCUAAGUUCGGAGUGACAGUCACCAGCUUAACUGGUGAAGGACUUUGAAAACUGGCGGGCUUGAGAGCGAGAGAGGGACAUGGAAUUUCGGGUGGAGCAGUGAAAUGCGUAGAUAUCCGGAGGAAUACCAAAGGCGAAGGCAGUGUCCUGGCUCGUAUCUGACGCUGAGGUGCGAAAGCUAGGGGAGCGAACGGGAUUAGAUACCCCGGUAGUCCUAGCCGUAAACGAUGACCACUAGGUGUGGGAGGUAUCGACCCCUUCCGUGCCGCAGUUAACACGGUAAGUGGUCCGCCUGGGGAGUACGGUCGCAAGACUAAA